CGUAGUGAGACAACGGAGCCGUUUACGGCGACGGCCCGAAGGGCGAGGCGAAGCCGAGUCAUCCUGCACGACCCACCA
Molecule: small RNA, 78 nt
Filed under: Salmonella enterica subsp. enterica serovar Havana
Lineage: Bacteria; Pseudomonadati; Pseudomonadota; Gammaproteobacteria; Enterobacterales; Enterobacteriaceae
Description: partial RtT sRNA
Rfam family: RtT RNA
About the family: This family represents a bacterial cis-regulatory element known as RtT RNA.
Source: RNAcentral